CCUACGGGUGGCAGCAGUCGAGAAUCAUUCACAAUGGGGGAAACCCUGAUGGUGCGACGCCGCGUGGGGGAAUGAAGGUCUUCGGUUUGUAAACCCCUGUCAUGUGGGAGCAAAUUAAAAAGAUAGUACCGCAAAAGGAAGAGACGGCUAACUCUGUGCCAGCAGCCGCGGAAAUACAGAGGUCUCAAGCGUUGUUCGGACUCACUGGGCGUAAAGCGUGUGUAGGCUGUUUCGUAAGUCGUGUGUGAAAGGCGCGGGCUCAACCCGCGGACGGCACAUGAUACUGCGAGACUAGAGUAAUGGAGGGGGAACCGGAAUUCCCGGUGUAGCAGUGAAAUGCGUAGAUAUCGAGAGGAACACUCGUGGCGAAGGCGGGUUCCUGGACAUUAACUGACGCUGAGGCACGAAGGCCAGGGGAGCGAAAGGGAUUAGAUACCCGAGUAGUC
Molecule: ribosomal RNA, 446 nt
Filed under: uncultured bacterium
Lineage: Bacteria
Description: partial 16S ribosomal RNA
Rfam family: Bacterial small subunit ribosomal RNA
Source: RNAcentral